UACGGAAGGCAGCAGUGGGGAAUAUUGCACAAUGGGCGAAAGCCUGAUGCAGCUAUGCCGCGUGUAUGAAGAAGGCCUUAGGGUUGUAAAGUACUUUCAUCGGGGAGGAAAAAACAAAACUAAUAAUUUUAUUUCUUGACGUUACCCGAAAAAGAAGCACCGGCUAACUCUGUGCCAGCAGCCGCGGUAAUACGGAGGGUGCUAGCGUUAAUCAGAAUUACUGGGCGUAAAGAGCACGUAGGUGGUUUUUUUAAGUCAGAUGUGAAAUCCCUGGGCUUAACCUAGGAACUGCAUUUUGAAACUGAAAUACUAGAGUAUCGUAGAGGGAGGUAGAAUUCUAGGUGUAGCGGUGAAAUGCGUAGAUAUCUGGAGGAAUACCUGUGGCGAAAGCGGGCCUCCUAAACGAAUACUGACACUGAGGUGCGAAAGCGUGGGGAGCAAACAGGGAUUAGAUACC
RNAcentral lists this ribosomal RNA (457 nucleotides) under uncultured bacterium. RNAcentral's name for it is "bacterial SSU rRNA". It matches the Rfam family "Bacterial small subunit ribosomal RNA", at positions 340 to 786 of the family's 1533-position model. The record is from RNAcentral.